Danio rerio (zebrafish) is the source of this 216-nucleotide small nucleolar RNA. Its record names the gene U3. It matches the Rfam family "Small nucleolar RNA U3". From Rfam's summary of the family: Small nucleolar RNAs (snoRNAs) are involved in the processing and modification of rRNA in the nucleolus. There are two main classes of snoRNAs: the box C/D class, and the box H/ACA class. The record is from Ensembl. NCBI's taxonomy places the organism in Eukaryota, Metazoa, Chordata, Actinopteri, Cypriniformes, Danionidae.
AAGACUAUACUUUUAGAGAUCAUUUCUAUACUUCUUAACUCCGAAAUGUGUUUUUAAAGUGAUUAGUCUCCCAAACCACGAUGAUGAUUCUUGAUAUUCUUUUCUUAACGUGACUCAGAUGCAGAUAGAUGAUUCAAUUUAUUUGCUCUGGAUCAUUGGUGAAUGUUUCUCGUUGUGUCUCACAGCAGAGGACGAAAAGAGAAUGAGCAGAGUGGC